RNAcentral lists this long non-coding RNA (1069 nucleotides) under Gallus gallus (chicken). RNAcentral's name for it is "lncRNA (ENSGALG00010009283.1)". The record is from RNAcentral. Lineage: Eukaryota; Metazoa; Chordata; Aves; Galliformes; Phasianidae.
CUCACCUCCUGGUUUUAUGGGUGGAAUUCCCUAUUUCAGUGAGGUUGCUGGGGUUGCUUGGUGGUGAAUCAGCUCUUCCAUCAGGGCCAUCUCAUCCUCCCUCACCUGAGCAAUCCUAGGUAUUGUUUCACAGCAGUGUUGCACACCUUAUUUAUGAUCUCACGCGAAGAGAGGUUGUGGAGAGUCUCCUUCUCUGGAGAUAAUCAAGACCCACCUGGAGGCUUCCCUGUGCAACCCACUGUAGGGAAGCAGGGAGUUGGACUGGAUGGUUUCUGAAGGUCCCUUCCAGCCCUUACAGUUCUGUGAUUCUGUGAUAAUUGUGAAGGUGAUAGAAGCAAGCUUUCAGGUCAUCACUGAAGUUACCUUUAGUAGAUUCAAUAUUUUUUCGUACAUCCUGAAAACAUGAGCAUUCGGGAAGAGAAUUAGCUACAAAGUAUCAGUCUUCUACCUAAAUUUUGCAUAAUUAUUCAUGGUCCCACACAGCACCUUCUGGCAGAGCCUCUCAGGGAGCCAUAAGGUCACCUACUGCCAGCAGGUGCUGUGUGGUUCUGGGGAGGAGAGAUGCUCCCUGAAGCUUACUUAAUAGGUGAGGAUUUAGGAAAUGAUGCAAAAAUAGUCUUCAUUUAUUUCCAAGUGGUCACUGAAACUGAAGGCACACUGUCAGUAAAGGCCAUUCCCGUUGAGUGUCAUUGAGUGAGUCAGUGAGAGUCCCAACCUCUUUGUCCUCCAUUUGGGAAUAACCAUGAAACUCCGUGCCAAAAUCUUCCUAUGAUGUAUGGCACCUUCUCUCUGUGUAGCUAUAAUCUAAGCAAAGCUUUUUCUUCCUCAGGGCUCAGCCCUUCUUCCCGCUCCAGCUUAAGACAAUGAUUCAACCACGCAGAUGAGUCCCUAAUUUGGAGGUGACCUCAGCAACCCAUAAAAGGGCUUCAGUGCUCCCUCCAUGGAGAGCUGCAGGAGGACCCAGCUACUGCAGCCUGCACACAUGCACAGCCAUCCCUGAAGGCUUCAUCUGUCUCUGUAAGUCUGUAAGGUGUUGCCAAACACAGAUUCCAAUGAGCAAUUAAAAAAC